Molecule: long non-coding RNA, 1444 nt
Organism: Strongylocentrotus purpuratus (purple sea urchin)
Lineage: Eukaryota; Metazoa; Echinodermata; Echinoidea; Camarodonta; Strongylocentrotidae
Exons: 2
Source: RefSeq, a predicted model, not a curated record
UGAAAAUGACCCGUUAUUUUUUUUCACUGCUGUGCGCAUCGGACUUUUGCUGAUUUUCGUUCAUCAAACGUCUCCAAAUCACACCAAAAUGUCUUCCACCAAUUAUUCUAGCGAUGAAAUUUCAUCAAGAGAUAGUGACUCCUCAUACUCCGAUGCCUCAUUAUCCCAUUUUAGUGAUUCUCCCCAAGAAAAUGAGCCCGACAAAUUUUCAAAAUAUUACUAGUCCCACUCGUAGAUAAACGAGUUUGUUGUCGAAUGACGGACCAUCGACGAGCGGAACUGGCCCCAGAAAACAGCUGAAAAGGAAUCAGAAAACACAACCUGCUAAAGCACCACGCAAGAAGAAGAGCAAGUCUUCCAAGUCCGAGAGUGUGUCUGCGAGGUAUGUCCUUACUAAGUAGAAAUCUAAAUCUAUUGUUGAUAAUUUUUUUGGGUUUAUUUAUUUCAUGUUUGUUAGUUAAGAUCUGACAUCAAAAUAUUAGAGUAGUUUACCUCAUCAUUAUGCUAGAACAAUAAUUUGCAGGUGGCACAAGUCCUACCUAGUCCUAGAUCUACAUUAUUUUUCUCAUUCCUUUUUAUUUUUUUCUUCAAAAAAUUGUUCCUUUACUAUUUUCUUUUCUGUGUUUUAUGUUUUAUUUUAUGUAUGUUCACCCAAUAUAUCUAAGAAUAAAAUAACUCUAAUUAAUUGCCUACCUGAGUGGUUUACAUUUCAUGCACCUUGACAGCUCUUUGAUGACUCCGUUGUUUCACCAUCCGUUCGUCAUCAGCCUGGCAUCUUUUUUGCUAUCAUACUUUUGUACACACAUGUUCUGUGCCUUUGAAUUUUUCAUUAUGAAAUACAUAAAUACUUGUACUAAGUAUUAAUUGCAUGUUCAUAAAUGUACCAAUGCAUGAUUAUUCUAACCCCUAACUCACAUUUCAUUUAUAUCUUUACAGAUCCAUUGAAACUAAUCAAGCUACAAUGUACAUGUAACGUACAACCACCAUUCGAUGCCUGUGAACAGCAUGACCAACAUCUGUAUCCUUUACAUUAGUAUUUGUUUCCAUUUUAUUAUGUAAUUCUUAUGUCUAAUCAUUGAGAUUCAUAGGCAAGUACAACAUGUACGUGUACACAAUGAGAGCCUGCAUAUUGUGAAGAUAAAGGACCAUAAGACCAUUACUUAUGAUACAUGGUAAUGAUGGUAUACUUUGUAAAACUAUUUGAAAAUAGUAGCAUGUAAGUCUGUCAUUUUCUUGUUUUUAUAUAUAUCUCAAUGACAUGACAUGUCAUUGAUUUUGUAGUAAGUGUUUCUAGAUUAUGAUGAUUGUAUUAAGAUUUUGACAGUUCAAUUGAGAUUGAGAAAAUUAUGUAACAUGUCAACUGUACUAUAGAGCAUGCAUGCAUUGUUGAAAAAUCUGUUUUAUGAUUUAUUUUAUUUUGUUAUCUUUGUAAAUAACGAGAAAA